This 2899-nucleotide ribosomal RNA is filed under the name Escherichia coli. RNAcentral describes it as "23S ribosomal RNA". It matches the Rfam family "Bacterial large subunit ribosomal RNA". The record is from RNAcentral. Lineage: Bacteria; Pseudomonadati; Pseudomonadota; Gammaproteobacteria; Enterobacterales; Enterobacteriaceae.
UUAAGCGACUAAGCGUACACGGUGGAUGCCCUGGCAGUCAGAGGCGAUGAAGGACGUGCUAAUCUGCGAUAAGCGUCGGUAAGGUGAUAUGAACCGUUAUAACCGGCGAUUUCCGAAUGGGGAAACCCAGUGUGUUUCGACACACUAUCAUUAACUGAAUCCAUAGGUUAAUGAGGCGAACCGGGGGAACUGAAACAUCUAAGUACCCCGAGGAAAAGAAAUCAACCGAGAUUCCCCCAGUAGCGGCGAGCGAACGGGGAGCAGCCCAGAGCCUGAAUCAGUGUGUGUGUUAGUGGAAGCGUCUGGAAAGGCGCGCGAUACAGGGUGACAGCCCCGUACACAAAAAUGCACAUGCUGUGAGCUCGAUGAGUAGGGCGGGACACGUGGUAUCCUGUCUGAAUAUGGGGGGACCAUCCUCCAAGGCUAAAUACUCCUGACUGACCGAUAGUGAACCAGUACCGUGAGGGAAAGGCGAAAAGAACCCCGGCGAGGGGAGUGAAAAAGAACCUGAAACCGUGUACGUACAAGCAGUGGGAGCACGCUUAGGCGUGUGACUGCGUACCUUUUGUAUAAUGGGUCAGCGACUUAUAUUCUGUAGCAAGGUUAACCGAAUAGGGGAGCCGAAGGGAAACCGAGUCUUAACUGGGCGUUAAGUUGCAGGGUAUAGACCCGAAACCCGGUGAUCUAGCCAUGGGCAGGUUGAAGGUUGGGUAACACUAACUGGAGGACCGAACCGACUAAUGUUGAAAAAUUAGCGGAUGACUUGUGGCUGGGGGUGAAAGGCCAAUCAAACCGGGAGAUAGCUGGUUCUCCCCGAAAGCUAUUUAGGUAGCGCCUCGUGAAUUCAUCUCCGGGGGUAGAGCACUGUUUCGGCAAGGGGUCAUCCCGACUUACCAACCCGAUGCAAACUGCGAAUACCGGAGAAUGUUAUCACGGGAGACACACGGCGGGUGCUAACGUCCGUCGUGAAGAGGGAAACAACCCAGACCGCCAGCUAAGGUCCCAAAGUCAUGGUUAAGUGGGAAACGAUGUGGGAAGGCCCAGACAGCCAGGAUGUUGGCUUAGAAGCAGCCAUCAUUUAAAGAAAGCGUAAUAGCUCACUGGUCGAGUCGGCCUGCGCGGAAGAUGUAACGGGGCUAAACCAUGCACCGAAGCUGCGGCAGCGACACUAUGUGUUGUUGGGUAGGGAGCGUUCUGUAAGCCUGUGAAGGUGUGCUGUGAGGCAUGCUGGAGGUAUCAGAAGUGCGAAUGCUGACAUAAGUAACGAUAAAGCGGGUGAAAAGCCCGCUCGCCGGAAGACCAAGGGUUCCUGUCCAACGUUAAUCGGGGCAGGGUGAGUCGACCCCUAAGGCGAGGCCGAAAGGCGUAGUCGAUGGGAAACAGGUUAAUAUUCCUGUACUUGGUGUUACUGCGAAGGGGGACGGAGAAGGCUAUGUUGGCCGGGCGACGGUUGUCCCGGUUUAAGCGUGUAGGCUGGUUUUCCAGGCAAAUCCGGAAAAUCAAGGCUGAGGCGUGAUGACGAGGCACUACGGUGCUGAAGCAACAAAUGCCCUGCUUCCAGGAAAAGCCUCUAAGCAUCAGGUAACAUCAAAUCGUACCCCAAACCGACACAGGUGGUCAGGUAGAGAAUACCAAGGCGCUUGAGAGAACUCGGGUGAAGGAACUAGGCAAAAUGGUGCCGUAACUUCGGGAGAAGGCACGCUGAUAUGUAGGUGAAGUCCCUCGCGGAUGGAGCUGAAAUCAGUCGAAGAUACCAGCUGGCUGCAACUGUUUAUUAAAAACACAGCACUGUGCAAACACGAAAGUGGACGUAUACGGUGUGACGCCUGCCCGGUGCCGGAAGGUUAAUUGAUGGGGUUAGCCGCAAGGCGAAGCUCUUGAUCGAAGCCCCGGUAAACGGCGGCCGUAACUAUAACGGUCCUAAGGUAGCGAAAUUCCUUGUCGGGUAAGUUCCGACCUGCACGAAUGGCGUAAUGAUGGCCAGGCUGUCUCCACCCGAGACUCAGUGAAAUUGAACUCGCUGUGAAGAUGCAGUGUACCCGCGGCAAGACGGAAAGACCCCGUGAACCUUUACUAUAGCUUGACACUGAACAUUGAGCCUUGAUGUGUAGGAUAGGUGGGAGGCUUAGAAGUGUGGACGCCAGUCUGCAUGGAGCCGACCUUGAAAUACCACCCUUUAAUGUUUGAUGUUCUAACGUUGACCCGUAAUCCGGGUUGCGGACAGUGUCUGGUGGGUAGUUUGACUGGGGCGGUCUCCUCCUAAAGAGUAACGGAGGAGCACGAAGGUUGGCUAAUCCUGGUCGGACAUCAGGAGGUUAGUGCAAUGGCAUAAGCCAGCUUGACUGCGAGCGUGACGGCGCGAGCAGGUGCGAAAGCAGGUCAUAGUGAUCCGGUGGUUCUGAAUGGAAGGGCCAUCGCUCAACGGAUAAAAGGUACUCCGGGGAUAACAGGCUGAUACCGCCCAAGAGUUCAUAUCGACGGCGGUGUUUGGCACCUCGAUGUCGGCUCAUCACAUCCUGGGGCUGAAGUAGGUCCCAAGGGUAUGGCUGUUCGCCAUUUAAAGUGGUACGCGAGCUGGGUUUAGAACGUCGUGAGACAGUUCGGUCCCUAUCUGCCGUGGGCGCUGGAGAACUGAGGGGGGCUGCUCCUAGUACGAGAGGACCGGAGUGGACGCAUCACUGGUGUUCGGGUUGUCAUGCCAAUGGCACUGCCCGGUAGCUAAAUGCGGAAGAGAUAAGUGCUGAAAGCAUCUAAGCACGAAACUUGCCCCGAGAUGAGUUCUCCCUGACUCCUUGAGAGUCCUGAAGGAACGUUGAAGACGACGACGUUGAUAGGCCGGGUGUGUAAGCGCAGCGAUGCGUUGAGCUAACCGGUACUAAUGAACCGUGAGGCUUAACCU